GACGAACGCUGGCGGCAGGCCUAACACAUGCAAGUCGAGCGGACCUUUCGGGGUCAGCGGCGGACGGGUGAGUAACGCGUGGGAAUAUGCCCUUCUCUACGGAAUAGUCCUGGGAAACUGGGGGUAAUACCGUAUACGCCCUUUGGGGGAAAGAUUUAUCGGGGAAGGAUUAGCCCGCGUUGGAUUAGGUAGUUGGUGGGGUAAUGGCCUACCAAGCCGACGAUCCAUAGCUGGUUUGAGAGGAUGAUCAGCCACACUGGGACUGAGACACGGCCCAGACUCCUACGGGAGGCAGCAGUGGGGAAUCUUAGACAAUGGGGGCAACCCUGAUCUAGCCAUGCCGCGUGAGCGAUGAAGGCCUUAGGGUUGUAAAGCUCUUUCAGCUGGGAAGAUAAUGACGGUACCAGCAGAAGAAGCCCCGGCUAACUCCGUG
RNAcentral lists this ribosomal RNA (433 nucleotides) under uncultured bacterium. RNAcentral's name for it is "partial 16S ribosomal RNA". It matches the Rfam family "Bacterial small subunit ribosomal RNA", at positions 28 to 507 of the family's 1533-position model. The record is from RNAcentral.